GGAGGUGUUUGCAACUCCUCCCAAUCCAGUCUUCGUCCCCACGGUGAGGCUUCUCCGCAGUUGGGACGAGGGCUGGAUAGGGAGGCGUUUGUAGCGCCUCCCAAUCCAGCCUUCAUCCCCACGGAGAGGCUUCCCUGCGGUUGGGACGAGAGCUGGAUAGGGAGGCGUUUGCAGCGCCUCCUGAUCUAGCCUUCGUCCCCACGGAGAGGCCUCCCGCACCUGGUAAUCCAAGUUAUCCGGUUGACCGAGCAGAGGUCCGCCUGUUUAACUUGGACUACUGGAGUUCUACUGUAUAUAUAUAUAUAUAUAUAUAUAUAUAUAUACACACACACACACACACAGUUGAACAAGAUGUACCUCAACUUUCCUAGGCGUCUGCGUGCUUGUAGUUUAUAUUAACUCCGGGGCUGAGUUUCCCUCCUUCCCCUGUUUCCCCCUCCUGUUCCUCCUCCUUCUCCUCCUCCUUCCCAGGACACUGACCUACCCUUUAAAUGUUUGGUGAUAGGCAUGUAAGGGGGAGGGACGUGACUUGUUUACUGGCGGCGCAUACACUUUUCGGCUUGUCUUUUUUAAAGGGAUGGUAGCACUCUGGGUUAGGGCACAUUUAAAGAGAAAGAGGCUCCUAAAAUUGUCAGCAAUGAGUGGAAAGGAGAGCCAGAGGCUGCAAAAGCAAAACCCUCCCCCCCCCUUCUUCCCAGGUUUUGGAGAAGAUUUGAGUCCAUGGGUUGUUGUGAGUUUUCUGGACUAUAUGUCCAGGGUGGGGGAAAGAACUCUUGUCUGUUUGAGGCAAGUGUGAAUCUUGCAACUGCCAGCAUGAUUAGCCUUGCAAUUUCAAAGCCUGGCUGUUGCCUGCAAGGGGGAUCCUUUGUUGGGAGGUGUUGGGAGGAGAAAGGAGGAAACUGAACUGGGAUGUGGGGAGGCACUUCAACUACACCCUCUGGUGAAAGCUGCCGCAGAUGUGUGCGGCGCUCCCAGGGCAUGGGCUCUCCUCGGUGAAGAGGAGGAGGAGGAGGUACCCCUUGGGGCCUGUGGCUUGAGCCCCCUUUCCCAAGCCACUGGUGGGAGAGAUGAGCAAAGGAGGGAAAGAAAGCUAGAGAAAGAGAGAGAGCGCCCCUCCCCUCCCCCCCUUCCUCUUGUUUCUUCUCCCUAGGAGCUUCGCCACAGCCUCCUACACCGGACAAGAAAGAGAUGGAGGAGGAGGAGGAGGAGGGGAGAGAGACUGAGAGAGAGAGAGAAGUGGUCGCUCGCCUCUUCCUCCUCCUUGGCUUUCUUUGGGCUUCAGCUGUAAUCACGCGCGCCUGGGGAGGAGAAGAGAAGAGGAGUCGGGGGUGCACACUGUCUUCGUGAGCUGCCCCUUCCCCUUAUCCUCUUCCCCUCCUCACCUGGGCGCCGCGUCCCAAAAGAGGGCUGUGAUUUGGCUGGCCUUGCUGCUGCAGCCUGCCUGGGCCUUCCCUCGCAGGAAAGCCCGGGCCGAAGGGGAAGGAGGCGGAGGGUGGCGCCAUCUUCCUGGGGGGCUCGAGGGAGCCCCCAGGAGGGCAGCACCACAGGCAAAUGACUAUAUUGCCUGGCGGUUGAACCGCCUCUGUGCAUGGCACAUCACUCAUGCCCAGUGAAACCAUAGGUACCUUGUAUGCAGAAUAUGGCUCUUUUGGAUAGAUGCUCCUAUUGGGUUCCAUGCACUGAUAACAGCUUUUGCUAACCAGGUGCGAAGACAGUUGGAAGAAAGAAGCAGAGAGAGACACACACAGGGAUUUUGUAAUGUGGUGUUGCUUCAUGAGCUGCUAGAAGGAAUUUAUCCACAUGGACAAAGGAAAAACUAUUUUAAAUCUCUCAUAAAAGGACACUGUGAGUUGGUGCAAUUGAGCACACUGUACAUAUGUUGUUCUGGAUUCAAGAAUAAUAAACCACUUGUUCUUUAUUGUU
Molecule: long non-coding RNA, 1923 nt
Organism: Anolis carolinensis (green anole)
Lineage: Eukaryota; Metazoa; Chordata; Lepidosauria; Squamata; Anolidae
Exons: 2
Source: RefSeq, a predicted model, not a curated record